Molecule: ribosomal RNA, 281 nt
Filed under: uncultured bacterium
Lineage: Bacteria
Description: partial 16S ribosomal RNA
Rfam family: Bacterial small subunit ribosomal RNA
Source: RNAcentral
AACGAACGCUGGCGGCAGGCCUAACACAUGCAAGUCGAACGCCCGUAGCAAUACGGGAGUGGCAGACGGGUGAGUAACGCGUGGGAACGUGCCCUUGGUUCGGAAUAACUCAGGGAAACUUGAGCUAAUACCGGAUACGUCCGUAAGGAGAAAGAUUUAUCGCCGAAGGAUCGGCCCGCGUCGGAUUAGCUAGUUGGUGAGGUAAUGGCUCACCAAGGCGACGAUCCGUAGCUGGUCGAGAGGAUGAUCAGCCACACUGGGACUGAGACACGGCCCAGACU